AACGUAGGAGACAAACGUUAUCCGGAGUUACUGGGCGUAAAGGGCGUGUAGGUGGUUUCGUAAGUCUGGCGUGAAAUUUUUCGGCUUAACCGGGAAAGGUCGUCGGAUACUGCGGAGCUAGAGGACGGUAGAGGCGUGUGGAAUUCCGGGUGUAGUGGUGAAAUGCGUAGAGAUCCGGAGGAACACCAGUGGCGAAGGCGACACGCUGGGCCGUACCUGACGCUAAAGCGCGACAGCAUGGGGAGCAAACGGG
This 253-nucleotide ribosomal RNA is filed under the name uncultured bacterium. RNAcentral's name for it is "partial 16S ribosomal RNA". It matches the Rfam family "Bacterial small subunit ribosomal RNA", at positions 524 to 776 of the family's 1533-position model. The record is from RNAcentral.